GUCAGAGUGGUGGAACGGUAUACACAUCAGACUUAAAAUCUGACGCUUUCGAGAUUGAGGGUUCAAGUCCCUCCUCUGAUACCA
RNAcentral lists this transfer RNA (84 nucleotides) under Sulfurihydrogenibium sp. RNAcentral's name for it is "tRNA-Leu". It matches the Rfam family "tRNA". Rfam says of the family: Transfer RNA (tRNA) molecules are approximately 80 nucleotides in length. The record is from RNAcentral. Lineage: Bacteria; Pseudomonadati; Aquificota; Aquificia; Aquificales; Hydrogenothermaceae.